UCCUCGGUAGCUUAGUGGUAGAGCAAACGGCUGUUAACCGUUCGGUCGCUGGUUCGAGUCCGGCCCGGGGAG
Molecule: transfer RNA, 72 nt
Filed under: Rickettsia conorii str. Malish 7
Lineage: Bacteria; Pseudomonadati; Pseudomonadota; Alphaproteobacteria; Rickettsiales; Rickettsiaceae
Description: tRNA-Asn
Rfam family: tRNA
About the family: Transfer RNA (tRNA) molecules are approximately 80 nucleotides in length.
Source: RNAcentral